GCGUGAGUGAAGAAGGCCUUAGGGUUGUAAAGCUCUUUCGCCGGUGAAGAUAAUGACGGUAGCCGGAGAAGAAGCCCCGGCCAACUCCGUGCCAGCAGCCGCGGUAAUACGGAGGGGGCUAGCGUUGUUCGGAAUUACUGGGCGUAAAGCGCGCGUAGGCGGUCCGUUAAGUUGGAUGUGAAAGCCCAGGGCUCAACUCUGGAUGUGCAUUCAAUACUGGCGGGCUCGAGUCCUGGAGAGGAGAGUGGAAUUCCCAGUGUAGAGGUGAAAUUCGU
RNAcentral lists this ribosomal RNA (275 nucleotides) under uncultured bacterium. RNAcentral describes it as "partial 16S ribosomal RNA". It matches the Rfam family "Bacterial small subunit ribosomal RNA", at positions 399 to 691 of the family's 1533-position model. The record is from RNAcentral.